This is an RNA transcript of Triticum aestivum (bread wheat), 3120 nucleotides long. It is a transcript of the gene named putative UPF0481 protein At3g02645, with no coding region annotated. The transcript has 2 exons. The record is from RefSeq and is a predicted model, not a curated record. NCBI's taxonomy places the organism in Eukaryota, Viridiplantae, Streptophyta, Magnoliopsida, Poales, Poaceae.
AUGGCCGCCUCCGAUCAACAACAGCAGGCCCGCAGCAACCGGCAAGGCUUUGUGGACGAGUCCCGGUGGGUGGAGCUGAUCCGGCAGUCCCUCCGGGAGGUUCCCGGGGAGGAGGAGGACGACGGCAUCCACGUGUCCGUGUUCGACGUGCCGAAGCAGCUGCAGGUGCACAGGCCCGAUGCCUACAGGCCGCAGUUCAUCGCCCUGGGCCCCUACCACCACUGGCACCCUCACCUGUACGACAUGGAGCGCUACAAGAUCGACGCCGCCCGCCGCGCGCUCCGCGCGGCCGGCAGCAGCCUGGAGGACAUCGUCUCCAAGCUCGCGUGCCACGAGCGCCGGGUCCGUGCACACUACCACCGCCACCUCGACUUCCAAGACGGGACGCUAUCCCUCAUGAUGCUCGUGGACGGCGCAUUCCUGCUCGAGUUCCUCGCCAUCCACCACCACCACGCCGCCGCCAAGGCCAAGCCAGAGAGGGUCUCCGUCUCUAGCUGGACGUCGAGGAUGGCGCACCUCAUCGACCUGGGCGGGAGCGGGCGGAAGUCCGCUCACGGCCUCAUCCUCCGCGACAUGCUCAUGCUCGAGAACCAGAUUCCGCUCUUCCUCCUCCGUCAGAUCCUCCAGGCGACAUGUCACUCCCAGUCUCAGUCCGUCGACGAGUCCACCACGCGGCUCACGUGCAUGGUGACGGGCCUCAUGAAGGAGCUCUGCCCGUUUAAGAUGGAGGGCAACUUCCCGGACAAGGAAAUUGAGAGGGACAUCGGCAAGCAUGCGCACCUGCUCGAGCUGCUUUACUACCUGCUCGUGCCCAAGCCCUGUGAAAAUUCUGCGCCGGCGUGGUCUGGCCACGUCGACGAGGAUAUCGAGGAGCAGAGAACGGACGGCGGCGAAGAAGGCCAAGGACCUUCCUCCGGCAGCGGCAGCGAGCACGUGAUGCAAGUGCUCGCCACCAUGCGGAGAGUCGCGUCGAGGCUCAAGGGCGGCCGCCUCAGCCACGUGAUGAAGCCGAUCGAGUUUGCUGCCAAGGCGCCGUGGAAGAUGCUCACCGGCAUACCUGGCAUCUCGGCCUUGUCCAUGCCCGCGGACACCGGCGAGCAGGCGUCCACCAUGAGCCAGGACGAGGAGAUCGAGAUCCCAUCGGUCACCGAACUGGCCAGCAGCGGCGUCCGGUUUGCGCCGACCAACGGCAACCUGUCCACCAUCGCCUUCAACCGCAAGACGGGGACGCUCCACCUCCCCGCGGUGACCCUCGACUGCAACACCGAGGUGGUGCUCCGGAACCUGGUCGCCUACGAGUCGUCCGCCGCAUCGGGCCCGCUGGUGUUCACCCGGUACACGGAGCUUGUUAGUUUUAAUCUUGUCAUGGUCAUGUAUCUGCAUGGGAGAUGCUGAGGGCCGUGUGAUGCGGCAGCUUGGUGAGAUGCCGUUGUGGCGUGAAGCUGCGGUGGUGCAUGCAUGUACUGGGAUAUUAUCUAGUUAGUUAGUGCAUGGUUGGUUGAGGUAUGGCCGAGUGAUUUGGUCAAGUUAAUUAGUACGUGUAUGUAGCAGAUGGAGGUUGCAUGCAGCUGUAAUAGUGGAGUAGUUGGACACGUCCUAAACGUGAGCAUAGGAAACGGAUCAUGGAGUUGGCUCCUGGCCGUGCUAGCUGAUGUAUAUAAGUAUUGCAUUGAUUGAAUGAAACGGAGGCCGUGAGGGCUGAGGGAAAAAAGAUGUAGCAUAUGUGUGUCUCACCGGGAGAACAAAGCAAAGCUGGUUCCUCCCACGGUGAGAUGUGUGUGUGUGUAGAGUUUCUUGUGUAUGUGUGUGUUCUUGUGUUCUUGAGAGAAGAAGAUAGAGAGAAACCACAAGAGAGUUUUGUGAGGGAGCUCGAGGUAGAAGAAGAAGCGGCGCUGCGAGGAGGCGGCGCCAACAAUUGGUAUCAGAGCCAGGUUGAUCCGCGGCGGCGGCGGCGGCGUGGUGGACUCCAUGGGAGGUGGAGGACGCCGACGCGAGGUGAUGGCUGGCAGGGGCGCGAUGCCGCGGGCGGCCGGUUGCGGUGCGAUGCCGCGAGAUGAAGGUGGUGCGAUGAUCGGCGUCGCGAGGACGUCAUCCACGACAAGAUGGUCCGUGGUGACCGGCGCUGCGAUGGCGUCGGUUGUGGCGCGACGGACUUCAUGCGAGAUGGAGGCCGACGGCGCAAGAAGGAGGAUGGUGGCUAUGCGGUGCCGCUAUGUGAAGAUGGCGGUGCGAAGCUGCCACAAGAAGAGUCGGCGUGAUGCCGACGACGGUGGUGUGAUGCCAUCGUCAUCAUGGAAAGUUGGUGUGAAGCCAACAAAAGUUGCGGUGCGAUGCCGCUUGGCGAAGACGGCGUGGUGAUCGGCGCUGCGACAGCGUCGUCCACGUCAAGAGGUGGCUGCGGCGUUCGGCAAGAUGGCAUGAUGGCGCGUGCGUACGUCGGGGCGGAGGUUCAUGGGGCACCGGCGGGAGGCUAGGUGCUGCAUCAUGCGUCCAGGAACACGACGAUUGACAGCUGUGCGUCCAUGGUGAAGUUGGCUGCUGCUGGCAUGUGUCGUGCUCGCCGAAGGCAAGGUGCGACGAUGACCCAGUGAUGAGGAUAGCAGUGGUGGUGCAUCAACGGCAAGCUCCAUGAGAUAUGGAGGUCACAGUGGCGGUAGAAUCCAUGAGAUGUGGAGGCCGCAGGUGGUGGCAGACUUCGUGAGAUGCGGAGGCCGGUGUAGGUGGCCAUGGCUACCAUCGCAGGAGGGUUCGUGUGCUUAUGGCGAACACAAGUGCAGCGGCAAGGUUUUCGUGGUGACAUGCGGCGGCACUGGAAGGAAUGCGUCGUCCACGGCAAGGUGAUGUUGUGGCAAGAGGAUGUAGGUGAUCUACAUAAAAAAAUUAGAGGAGUUGACAUGGCAAGAUUAGGGGGUUGAAUGUUAGUUUUAAUCUUGUCAUGGUCAUGUAUCUGCAUGGGAGAUGCUGAGGGCCGUGUGAUGCGGCAGCUUGGUGAGAUGCCGUUGUGGCGUGAAGCUGCGGUGGUGCAUGCAUGUACUGGGAUAUUAUCUAGUUAGUUAGUGCAUGGUUGGUUGAGGUAUGGCCGAGUGAUUUGGUCAAGUUAAUUAGUACGUGUAUGUAGCA